Molecule: ribosomal RNA, 848 nt
Filed under: uncultured archaeon
Lineage: Archaea
Description: bacterial SSU rRNA
Rfam family: Archaeal small subunit ribosomal RNA
Source: RNAcentral
AGUUGUAGAAUCACUGGUGAAUAAGGGGCGGGCAAGUUCUGGUGUCAGGCGCCGCGGUAAAACCAGCACCUCGAGUGGUCAGGAGGUUUAUUGGGCCUAAAGCAUCCGUAGCCGGUUGCAUAAGUUUUCGGUUAAAUCUAUGCGCUUAACGUAUAGGCCGCCGAAAAUACUGUGCAGCUAGGGAGUGGGAGAGGUACACGGUACUCGAUAGGAAGGGGUAAAAUCCUUUGAUCUAUUGAUGACCACCUGUGGCGAAGGCGGUGUACCAGAACACGUUCGACGGUGAGGGAUGAAAGCUGGGGGAGCAAACCGGAUUAGAUACCCGGGUAGUCCCAGCUGUAAACGAUGCAGACUCGGUGAUGCAUUGGCUUGUGGCCAAUGCAGUGCCGCAGGGAAGCCGUUAAGUCUGCCGCCUGGGAAGUACGUACGCAAGUAUGAAACUUAAAGGAAUUGGCGGGGGAGCACCACAAGGGGUGAAGCCUGCGGUUCAAUUGGAGUCAACGCCAGAAAUCUUACCUGGGGAGACAGCAGAAUGAAGGUCAAGCUGAAGACUUUACCAGACACGCUGAGAGGUGGUGCAUGGCCGUCGCCAGCUCGUGCCGUGAGAUGUCCUGUUAAGUCAGGUAACGAGCGAGACCCCUGCGUCUAGUUGCUACCAUUACUCUCUGGAGCAGUGGAGCGAAUUAGACGGACCGCCACAGUUAAUGUGGAGGAAGGAAGGGGCCACGGCAGGUCAGUAUGCCCCGAAACCCUAGGGCUACACGCGGGCUGCAAUGGUAUUGACAAUGUGUUCCGAAUCCGAAAGGAGGAGGCAAUCAUCAAACAAUAUCUCAGUUAUGACUGAGGGC